AACCUCCGCAAUGUGAGAAAUCGCGACGGGGGGAUCCCAAGUGCCAUUCUUAACGGGAUGGCUUUUCAUUAGUGUAAAGAGCUUUUGGAAUAAGAGCUGGGCAAGACCGGUGCCAGCCGCCGCGGUAACACCGGCAGCUCUAGUGGUAACAAUUUUUAUUGGGCCUAAAGCGUCCGUAGCCGGUUUAAUAAGUCUCUGGUGAAAUCCUGUAGCUUAACUGUGGGAAUUGCUGGAGAUACUAUUAGACUUGAGACCGGGAGAGGUUAGAGGUACUCCCAGGGUAGAGGUGAAAUUCUGUAAUCCUGGGAGGACCGCCUGUUGCGAAGGCGUCUAACUGGAACGGUUCUGACGGUGAGGGACGAAAGUUAGGGGCGCGAACCGGAUUAGAUACCCGGGUAGUCCUAACUGUAAACGAUGCGGACUUGGUGUUGGGGUGGCUUUGAGCUGCUCCAGUGCCGAAGGGAGCUGUUAAGUCCGCCGCCUGGGAAGUACGUCGCGAGAACGGAACGUAAAGUAAUA
This 519-nucleotide ribosomal RNA is filed under the name uncultured bacterium. RNAcentral describes it as "bacterial SSU rRNA". It matches the Rfam family "Archaeal small subunit ribosomal RNA", at positions 345 to 866 of the family's 1478-position model. The record is from RNAcentral.